AACGAACGCUGGCGGCAUGCCUAACACAUGCAAGUCGAACGAGACCUCCGGGUCUAGUGGCGCACGGGUGCGUAACGUGUGGGAACCUGCCCUUAGGUUCGGAAUAACUCCCCGAAAGGGGUGCUAAUACCGGAUAAUGUCUUCGGACCAAAGAUUUAUCGCAUUUGGAUGGGCCCGCGUUGGAUUAGCUAGUUGGUAUGGUAAAAGCCUACCAAGGCGACGAUCCAUAGCUGGUCUGAGAGGAAGAUCAGCCACACUUGGACUGAGACACGGCCCAGACUCCUACGGGAUGCAGCAGUGGGGAAUAUUGGACAAUGGGCGAAAGCCUGAUCCAGCAAUGCCGCGUGAGUGAUGAAGGCCUUAGGGUUGUAAAGCUCUUUUACCCGGGAUGAUAAUGACAGUACCGGGAGAAUAAGCUCCGGCUAACUCCGUG
This 433-nucleotide ribosomal RNA is filed under the name uncultured bacterium. RNAcentral describes it as "partial 16S ribosomal RNA". It matches the Rfam family "Bacterial small subunit ribosomal RNA", at positions 29 to 507 of the family's 1533-position model. The record is from RNAcentral.